RNAcentral lists this ribosomal RNA (376 nucleotides) under uncultured bacterium. RNAcentral's name for it is "bacterial SSU rRNA". It matches the Rfam family "Bacterial small subunit ribosomal RNA", at positions 518 to 898 of the family's 1533-position model. The record is from RNAcentral.
CGGUAAUACGGAGGAUCCAAGCGUUAUCCGGAAUCAUUGGGUUUAAAGGGUCCGUAGGCGGUCAGAUAAGUCAGUGGUGAAAGCCCAUCGCUCAACGGUGGAACGGCCAUUGAUACUGUCUGACUUGAAUUAUUAGGAAGUAACUAGAAUAUGUAGUGUAGCGGUGAAAUGCUUAGAGAUUACAUGGAAUACCAAUUGCGAAGGCAGGUUAUCACUAAUUGAUUGACGCUGAUGGACAAAAACGUGGGUAGCGAACAGGAUUAGAUACCCCGGUAGUCCACGCCGUAAACGAUGGAUACUAGCUGUUGGGAGCAAUUUCAGUGGCUAAGCGAAAGUGAUAAGUAUCCCACCUGGGGAGUACGAACGCAAGUUUGAA